GACGAACCGAGCGAACGUUGUUCGGAAUCACUGGGCUUAAAGGGCGCGUAGGCGGGCUGUCAAGUUUGGGGUGAAAUCCCACGGCUCAACCGUGGAACUGCCUCAAAUACUGACGGUCUCGAGGGAGGUAGGGGCGAGCGGAACUGAUGGUGGAGCGGUGAAAUGCGUUGAUAUCAUCAGGAACUCCGGUGGCGAAGGCGGCUCGCUGGACCUUUUCUGACGCUGAGGCGCGAAAGCUAGGGGAGCAAACGGG
This 253-nucleotide ribosomal RNA is filed under the name uncultured bacterium. RNAcentral describes it as "partial 16S ribosomal RNA". It matches the Rfam family "Bacterial small subunit ribosomal RNA", at positions 524 to 776 of the family's 1533-position model. The record is from RNAcentral.